RNAcentral lists this ribosomal RNA (253 nucleotides) under uncultured bacterium. RNAcentral describes it as "partial 16S ribosomal RNA". It matches the Rfam family "Bacterial small subunit ribosomal RNA", at positions 524 to 776 of the family's 1533-position model. The record is from RNAcentral.
UACGUAGGGUGCGAGCGUUAAUCGGAAUUACUGGGCGUAAAGCGUGCGCAGGCGGUUUCACAAGCUCGAUGUGAAAGCCCCGGGCUUAACCUGGGAAUGGCAUUGAGGACUGUGGAGCUCGAGUGCGGCAGAGGGAGGUGGAAUUCCACGUGUAGCAGUGAAAUGCGUAGAUAUGCGGAGGAACACCGAUGGCGAAGGCAAUCCCCUGGACCUGUACUGACGCUCAUGCACGAAAGCGUGGGGAGCAAACAGG